RNAcentral lists this long non-coding RNA (1328 nucleotides) under Olea europaea subsp. europaea. Lineage: Eukaryota; Viridiplantae; Streptophyta; Magnoliopsida; Lamiales; Oleaceae. The record is from RNAcentral.
GCUUUUGGGAACAAAUUUUUUACUGUGAAGAUUUCACAAAUAGUGUGUACACUACAUCAUAAAUUGUCCUACAUAGAUGCAAUAAAUUUUUAGUCUGAAGGAAACAAGUACGUUACAGAAAAACAUUUACAACAAAAGCACAUUACAAAAAUUUAAGCACAUAAUGUUCAAUGGUGAUGGAACGGUGCAAAGAAAAGGAAAAUAGUUCUUGAAAACAAACACAUGAAUACAAAAAAUUUGAAAUAUCAUAGGCGGAAUUAUUUGUCCCGCUCAUUGAACUACCACUCAAUCUAUUCAAAUUUUUCAUUAGCAUCUCUCAUGACAUCGAGUAUAUCCUGAUAACAUUUUUGCUCCAGAGUAUGCAAGCGUAAAAGUACAAAGGUGUCGGAAACUUGAGCUGUCUAGUUGGUAAUAACUCUUCGAUAUAGGCAACACCAGUGUUGUCGGUUGAAGCCUCAUGGUAUUGAUCUUUGCUGCCACUUCUUCGACGGCGCUGGUGGCCCGGUUAUUUGAGGACAGCUCAUGCACAGAAAUGUUCUUCUUCUUUCCUCAUUGCUUGCUUGUGGAUGACUUCAUUUUUCGUCUCUUAUGGUGUUGGAGACGUUCACGCAUGAUCUACCGUUUGUAUCGUCUCCCUCAUCACUUGAACCGCUGCUCUUCUCAUCGGUGGUCUUCGAGCGUAUUGUCCUCAAACAACUUGAACCCCUUUCUACACAACUUCGUUAAAGUGACUGGAUACUUGUUCUCAUCGUAACUGUUACCGAUUAGUUGACGAUAGUGAGUGUAGAUCUUGCUUACGUCUUUGUCCUUGAAAUCUUUGUACUCCUUGUUCUCCUGCGAACAAGGGUUAAACAAUUACACCAAUACUUCUAUUUGAAAACCAAAAUGUGAGUACUAUCCAAAUAAGGCAGUCAAACAAAUUCAGCUAGCAUAGUGCAAUGCAAUGAGUGCUCGCCCAUGUGCAAAAGUGAACAGGAAGGUAAAAAAUAGCCUCAGUAACCAUUACCAAACAACACACCUCCCAAGCAAGACAUAUUUACCUAUCUUAAAAUUUACGUUUGGAAUGAAAGUACAAAUUCGCAGUAUGAUGCACGCAAAAUAUGCAAUAGAUAAGCAUGAAAACGUUUACACAUCACAUUGUCACACAUUAAAGAAUAGCACAUUUGUAUCGAAAACUAGUGAUGCACAACUGUUAUCCACAGCCAGUAGUGACAACAUAUAUUUACAGUCUCAUUUAUAUAGACUUAUUCCCCCCUUUUUUUUUGUUCUUAUUAUAUAAUUUUGUUUCUUUAUUGAGUUUGUUUUGUUUUGUUCGUUUACUAAUAGAU